RNAcentral lists this ribosomal RNA (249 nucleotides) under uncultured Anaerolineae bacterium. RNAcentral describes it as "partial 16S ribosomal RNA". It matches the Rfam family "Bacterial small subunit ribosomal RNA", at positions 355 to 620 of the family's 1533-position model. Lineage: Bacteria; Bacillati; Chloroflexota; Anaerolineae. The record is from RNAcentral.
UGAGGAAUAUUGCACAAUGGGGGCAACCCUGAUGCAGCGACGCCGCGUGGGUGAUGAAGGGCUUCGGCUCGUAAAACCCUUUUCUGUGUGACGAGAACGGACGGUAGCACAGGAAUAAGCCUCGGCUAACUACGUGCCAGCAGCCGCGGUAAAACGUAGGAGGCAAGCGGUAUCCGGAGUUAUUGGGCGUAAAGAGCGUGGAGGUGGCAGUGUAAGUGGCUUGGGAAAGGGCCCGGCUAAACUGGGCGA